AGAGUUUGAUCCUGGCUCAGGAUGAACGCUAGUGGGAGGCUUAACACAUGCAAGUCGAGGGGCAGCACGAGGUAGCAAUACUUUGGUGGCGACCGGCGCACGGGUGAGUAACACGUAUGCAACCUACCCUGUACAGGGGGAUAGCCCGGAGAAAUUCGGAUUAAUACCCCAUAAUGAUAUUGAAAGGCAUCUUUUAAUAUUUAAAGUUUCAACGGUACGGGAUGGGCAUGCGCAACAUUAGCUAGUUGGUAGGGUAACGGCCUACCAAGGCUACGAUGUUUAGGGGACCUGAGAGGGUGAUCCCCCACACUGGUACUGAGACACGGACCAGACUCCUACGGGAGGCAGCAGUGAGGAAUAUUGGUCAAUGGGCGUAAGCCUGAACCAGCCAUCCCGCGUGCAGGAAGACAGCGCUAUGCGUUGUAAACUGCUUUUCCAGGGGAAGAAAACCCGCUACGUGUAGCGGUUUGCCGGUACCCUGGGAAUAAGCAUCGGCUAACUCCGUGCCAGCAGCCGCGGUAAUACGGAGGAUGCGAGCGUUAUCCGGAUUUAUUGGGUUUAAAGGGUGCGUAGGCGGAUUGAUAAGUCAGUGGUGAAAACCUUCAGCUUAACUGGAGAAUUGCCAUUGAUACUGUUAGUCUUGAGUACGGUCAAGGUAGGCGGAAUGUGUAAUGUAGCGGUGAAAUGCUUAGAUAUUACACAGAACACCGAUUGCGAAGGCAGCUUACUGGGCCAUUACUGACGCUGAUGCACGAAAGCGUGGGGAGCGAACAGGAUUAGAUACCCUAGUAGUCC
RNAcentral lists this ribosomal RNA (795 nucleotides) under uncultured bacterium. RNAcentral describes it as "bacterial SSU rRNA". It matches the Rfam family "Bacterial small subunit ribosomal RNA", at positions 8 to 796 of the family's 1533-position model. The record is from RNAcentral.